GCAAGUCGAACGCAUCGCAAGAUGAGUGGCAGACGGGUGAGUAACGCGUGGGAACAUACCCUUUUCUACGGAAUAGCUCUGGGAAACUGGAAUUAAUACCGUAUACGCCCUACGGGGGAAAGAUUUAUCGGGGAAGGAUUGGCCCGCGUUGGAUUAGCUAGUUGGUGGGGUAAAGGCCUACCAAGGCGACGAUCCAUAGCUGGUCUGAGAGGAUGAUC
Molecule: ribosomal RNA, 218 nt
Filed under: uncultured bacterium
Lineage: Bacteria
Description: partial 16S ribosomal RNA
Rfam family: Bacterial small subunit ribosomal RNA
Source: RNAcentral